RNAcentral lists this long non-coding RNA (1134 nucleotides) under Capra hircus (goat). Its description in RNAcentral is "lncRNA (ENSCHIG00010032252.1)". The record is from RNAcentral. Lineage: Eukaryota; Metazoa; Chordata; Mammalia; Artiodactyla; Bovidae.
GGGCGCCGGCUUCUCCAUGGCCGGCUGUUCCUGCCAGUGGCUACAGAAGAAGAGCCACGAGGUUUACCUCCCUGCUGACUCUCGGCUGGGGCUCUGAUGAUUCGACCUGCCUCCUCUUGGCUGUGCACCGCUGUGCAGAUGAAAGAGGACGAUGCAUCAAACGUGAACGAGCGGCACGGCCUGCAAGGGAGUGUGAGGGCUGCAGGCGUCCUGCCCAUGGCUCCUGCCAGCCUCGCAGCCUCGUUGGCUGAGGAUCAAACAGUGCAGACGUGGCCGGGGAAGCAGAGCGGUGGGCCAGGGCCUUCUCCAUGGGUGCCCCCUGCCUCCACCCCAAACAUGAAAGCAAGCUCCGGGAGUGCCAGAAACUGACCACAGAUCAAUAUUUUUCCGUGAUAAGCUGCCUGGUGCCAGUGAGGCAAGAAGCCUCUGAUGAGCGCAGGUCCUCUGCCAAGCAGGAAGGAGUGGUUUUUACAUUUUCACCCUCCUCCGUGUCUCUCUGAAGCUUAAGGCCUGCUGUGUGCCAGGUGGAGGGGAGGAGGCAUCAAUGUCUAUUUGAUUGUCCAUAGCAGUCAGGGAGCUGCCAGCAGGAAGGCCUGGGACUUGGUGAUGCCUGCUGAUCCCGGGCUCGAUGCUGGGUCAGCCACGCAGCCCAUGCGUCUCUCCCAGGCACCUCUGUGGCCAGGCGUGUGGCUGGCGUUUGACAUCGUGAGCUCAGACCUGCUUUCCUUUGCUAAGGCACUUCGGAGCGCUUCUCCCUGAGCCCGUCUGCUGCACCAGCUCAGGAAGGGGGGAUUUGACAGCAGAGGUGAUGGGUCUGCGUUUGCAGGUUGGGCGCUGGGAGACAGCAUGUGUGGAGGGGGCCGCUGGCAAUACCUCUUGGCUGGGGGGUCAGCAGCAGAAGGUGGGGGAUUGCUUGGCAGGCGGGGCUGGGAGGAAGGAGGGCUGGGCAGGGAGACAGAAGUAGGUCUUGGCCCAGGCUCUGCAGCGUUUGUACUGAGAACUGUGGGGAGGAGCUCCUCUCAAAGGGUGUGGAGGGAGUUGGCAGCAUCAGGGCCUGUCUGCUUCCAGGAUAGAAGAGGGUAUGAAGUUGCUUCCUACAUGAGAAUACCUGCCGAUUCAGCAGACACAGGGAAA